Long non-coding RNA from Dicentrarchus labrax (European seabass), 105 nucleotides. RefSeq lists it as uncharacterized. The record is from RefSeq and is a predicted model, not a curated record. The transcript has 3 exons. Lineage: Eukaryota; Metazoa; Chordata; Actinopteri; Moronidae.
CACAUGAAAAAUGCCAUUGCAUUUGAAGGAAGAAGAGCAGCAGGCUGAGGUCUCAGUCAGACCUGCCGACGUGGACACACCAGUGGAAGGGGACUCGGUUGAAGA